GGUUUCAUAGUGUAGUGGUUAUCACGUCUGCUUUACACGCAGAAGGUCCUGGGUUCAAUCCCCAGUGGAACCA
This 73-nucleotide transfer RNA is filed under the name Gadus morhua (Atlantic cod). Its description in RNAcentral is "tRNA-Val (TAC) (tRNA-Val-TAC-5-1)". It matches the Rfam family "tRNA". From Rfam's summary of the family: Transfer RNA (tRNA) molecules are approximately 80 nucleotides in length. Their secondary structure includes four short double-helical elements and three loops (D, anti-codon, and T loops). The record is from Rfam by way of RNAcentral. RNAcentral also lists the same sequence under 5 other names. Lineage: Eukaryota; Metazoa; Chordata; Actinopteri; Gadiformes; Gadidae.